Long non-coding RNA from Esox lucius (northern pike), 852 nucleotides. RefSeq lists it as uncharacterized. The record is from RefSeq and is a predicted model, not a curated record. The transcript is spliced from 2 exons. Lineage: Eukaryota; Metazoa; Chordata; Actinopteri; Esociformes; Esocidae.
AGCGUUUUACUUGUAUGUAUGAGAGCUUUUCAGUAGUGUAUAUAAGAGCGUUUCACUUGUAUGUAUAAGAGCUUUUCAAUAGUGUAUAUAAGGGCGUUUCACUUGUAUGUGACUGUUUCAGUAGUGUAUAUAAAAGCUUUCACUUGUAUGUGUGAGAGCGUUUCAGUAGUGUGUGCGAGCGAAUAAUCUUCCAGUUGUUUAUGUGAGAGUGUUUCAGUAGUGUAUGUGUCACGGGUUGGAUAUUAAUUGUGCAUGUAUUUUGAUUAUGUUUGUGACUUGAUUUACUGUGAUUUUGGUUUGGAUAUUGUGUUUGGUUUAGUGUUGUGAUUGGUGUUUUGUUUGUAGUGCUUUUGUGUUAUUUUUCUAUUCGUUAAUUUGCUAACAACCCGUGAACUUCGACCUGUACAACGAGGCUAUUGAUUGGACUGUAGAAUAAGAACAGGAAAUAAAGACCGGACACCGAGAGGAAGGUGGACAGAGAAGAAGGCUACCGGAGGCAGCUCGAAGAGGUGGAAAAUCAAUACGUGAGACACAAGAGCUACGAGCCAGAGGAUCCCGUAUACCCAUAAGGCUAGACGUGCGCAUCCCGGGGAAUGGGCUACUACUGCCUGUGACCCGGGGAGAGUCCCUUUCCUGCCAGUAUACAGUUAGACGAAGGCCGAACUCCGGUGGAAAGAAGCUGAUUGCUCGGCUGGUCGCCGGUGUACGCUGCAUCUCAGGGACUGGGACAUUUGCAUGGAUAUGGUUUUUCAUAUAUUUUAUUGCUCGAUGUUUUAAGUAUUGUAAUGUAAUUUAUUGUUAAUGUAAAGACAUAUUGAAGUUGUGGUGCAAUAAAAUAUUGAUUAAAGUAUA